AACCAGCACCUCAAGUGGUCAGGAUGAUUAUUGGGCCUAAAGCAUCCGUAGCCUGUUUUGCAAGUCUUCGGUUAAAUCCAACAACUCAAGUGUUGGGCUGCCGAAGAUACUACAAGACUAGGGAAUGGGAGAGGUAGACGGUACUCGAUAGGAAGGGGUAAAAUCCUUUGAUCUAUUGAUGACCACCUGUGGCGAAGGCGGUCUACCAGAACAUGUUCGACGCUGAAGCACGAAAGCGUGGGGAGCAAACAGG
Molecule: ribosomal RNA, 253 nt
Filed under: uncultured archaeon
Lineage: Archaea
Description: partial 16S ribosomal RNA
Rfam family: Archaeal small subunit ribosomal RNA
Source: RNAcentral